GGAGGGUGCAAGCGUUAUCCGGAUUCACUGGGGUUUAAAGGGGUGCGUAGGCGGGGUAUUUAAGUCAGUGGUGAAAUCCUAGAGCUUAACUCUAGAACUGCCAUUGAUACUAUUUAUCUUGAAUAUUGUGGAGGUAAGCGGAAUAUGUCAUGUAGCGGUGAAAUGCUUAGAUAUGACAUAGAACACCUAUUGCGAAGGCAGCUUACUACGCAUAUAUUGACGCUGAGGCACGAAAGCGUGGGAUCAAACAGGAUUAGAUACCCUGGUAGUCCACGCCCUAAACGAUGGAUACUCGACAUACGCGAUACACUGUGUGUGUCUGAGCGAAAGCAUUAAGUAUCCCACCUGGGAAGUACGACCGCAAGGUUG
Molecule: ribosomal RNA, 369 nt
Filed under: uncultured organism
Description: partial 16S ribosomal RNA
Rfam family: Bacterial small subunit ribosomal RNA
Source: RNAcentral